This 250-nucleotide ribosomal RNA is filed under the name Lacticaseibacillus paracasei. RNAcentral's name for it is "Lactobacillus paracasei partial 16S ribosomal RNA". It matches the Rfam family "Bacterial small subunit ribosomal RNA", at positions 57 to 279 of the family's 1533-position model. The record is from RNAcentral. Lineage: Bacteria; Bacillati; Bacillota; Bacilli; Lactobacillales; Lactobacillaceae.
GCAAGUCGAACGAGUUCUCGUUGAUGAUCGGUGCUUGCACCGAGAUUCAACAUGGUACGAGUGGCGGACGGGUGAGUAACACGUGGGUACCUGCCCUUAAGUGGGGGAUAACAUUUGGAAACAGAUGCUAAUACCGCAUAGCUCCAAGAACCGCAUGGUUCUUGGCUGAAAGAUGGCGUAAGCUAUCGCUUUUGGAUGGACCCGCGGCGUAUUAGCUAGUUGGUGAGGUAAUGGCUCACCAAGGCGAUGA